RNAcentral lists this microRNA (22 nucleotides) under Homo sapiens (human). RNAcentral describes it as "hsa-miR-6719-3p". Lineage: Eukaryota; Metazoa; Chordata; Mammalia; Primates; Hominidae. The record is from miRBase by way of RNAcentral.
UCUGACAUCAGUGAUUCUCCUG